GGGUUUCUGGGUGCUUUAAAUCCCUCCUUUAGACAAACAUGCUGUUUCACCCGCCCUGCCUUUGACCCCCUCCCUCCCCCUCCCCUUCUUUUGCUUCUGCUGCUGUUUCCUGUUUACAGCUGGAGCGGGAGCUUUCAUCCGUGGGCUUCUGAGCUCACUUCCCCGCCGACAGGAAGCCCUGGCAGGAGCCGGCUUCCCGCCACACCCCUGGUCUCGAGUGGGUCCAGAAGCGAGAAGCAAAAGGCAGGAGGCUGGGCUUUAAAGGGCUGAGCUGCAGCGCCUGCGAGGAGAGGAGACUCAGCCCCAAGGCAGGAAGGAGGCAGACAGACAGACAGACAGACAGAUAAUGGAACGUGAAUGAACAUUUCGCCUGCUGCUUCAGGAAAGGAAUAUACAAAACUCUCUUUCCCUCUCUCCCAACCCUUGUACCAGUGCCAACUGUAGUCCUCACUGGUACAGAGGAUGGAAGGGUGGGCCUGCAGAGAUGAGACACACCUGGAACCACUCUACUUACCAGUCUGGAUGUCCUCUCUAAACCAAGGCAGAAGCAACUUCAAGAACCCCUCUUCCCUUCAGCAAAAGCAGAUAAAAUAUCCUUCUCCAUCUUAACCACAGCCUCUGCUUUUAACCCAGCCUAGGAUUUUUACUGUUUAACUAAGAGAGAGCCAGCUUGUCUUCAUACAAAGUUUUCUAAUAAAGCUAUGUGCUAAAUUUUAAUCCAACAUAAUUUGAUAUGUUUUAAUUAUUUUCAGUUCCACAAAGAAAGAAUCAGCAUUUGAUUUUGGGUCCCAAGGGGCAGAUUGUGUUGGAGACUUUGUUCAGACAUAAAAUGUAUGUACAGUAGAGUCUCACUUAUCCAACAUAAACGGGCUGGCAGAAUGUUGGAUAAGUGAAUAUGUUGAAUAAUAAGGAGAGAUUAAGAAAAAGCCUAUUAAAUAUCAAAAUAGGUUAUGAUUUUACAAAUUAAGCACCAAAACAUCAUGUUAUACAACAAAUUUGACAGAAAAAGUAGUUCAUUACACAUUAAUGCUAUGUAGUAAUUACUGUAUUUACGAAUUUAGCACCAAAAUAUCAAGAUAUAUUGAAAACGUUGACUACAAAAAUGCGUUGGAUAAUCCAGAACGUUGGAUAAGUGAGUGUUGGAUAAGUGAGACUCUACUGUAUUAAAAAUUAAAGUGUACACUGAGUAUGAAAGGACAGCUAGAUAACACAUGGGUGUGAAUCUUACUUAUUAAAGCCAGACUGGGAAUUAUGUAGCCCUCCAGAUGUUAAAAAGCAACUUCCAAUAUCCCUAACCAUUGGCUAUGCUGGCUAGGACUAGGAAGCUAACAGGAUCUAGAGAGGAUGCAUGAUUUUACUCUAUGUAGGAUGAGCAUAAAACCAGGGAAUGAGUCAGGGUUUGGGAAAGUUUAUUUUUUGGACUACAACUUCCAAUAUCCCACAGUCAGCUCACAUCUAAAAGACCCAAUGUAUCCAAGCUCUCAGGGGGAACUUCCCAAUGGUUGUUUUUUCUGCUACCAGCUGAAAUAAAAAACUCAAUCUUU
Molecule: long non-coding RNA, 1544 nt
Organism: Anolis carolinensis (green anole)
Lineage: Eukaryota; Metazoa; Chordata; Lepidosauria; Squamata; Anolidae
Exons: 2
Source: RefSeq, a predicted model, not a curated record